UGUGAAGGAAAGGUGAAAAGGACCCCGGGAGGGGAGUGAAAGAGAACCUGAAACCCUGUGUCUACAAGCUGUGGAAGCACUUUAUAUGUGCGACCGCGUACUUUUUGUAGAACGGUCCGGCGAGUUACGCUUACUGGCAAGGUUAAGCACUUCAGGUGUGGAGCCGUAGGGAAACCAAGUCUUAAGAGGGCCUUAAGUCAGUAGGAGUAGACCCGAAACCGGGUGAUCUAUCCAUGUCCAGGUUGAAGCUGCCGUAAGAGGUAGUGGAGGACCGAACCCACAUCCGUUGAAAAGGGUGGGGAUGAGGUGUGGAUAGGGGAGAAAUUCCAAUCGANCGACCGCGUACUUUUUGUAGAACGGUCCGGCGAGUUACGCUUACUGGCAAGGUUAAGCACUUCAGGUGUGGAGCCGUAGGGAAACCAAGUCUUAAGAGGGCCUUAAGUCAGUAGGAGUAGACCCGAAACCGGGUGAUCUAUCCAUGUCCAGGUUGAAGCUGCCGUAAGAGGUAGUGGAGGACCGAACCCACAUCCGUUGAAAAGGGUGGGGAUGAGGUGUGGAUAGGGGAGAAAUUCCAAUCGAACCCGGAGAUAGCUGGUUCUCCUCGAAAUAGCUUUAGGGCUAGCCUCGAUACAGAUUUGCGGAGGUAGAGCACUGAAUUUCCUAGGGGGCGUCAAAGCCUACCGAAGAAUAUCAAACUCCGAAUGCCGCGUAAUCGAUUAUCGGGAGUCAGACUGCACGAGAUAAGUUGGGCGGUCAAAAGGGAAAGAGCCCAGACCUUCAGUUAAGGUCCCCAAGUGCGCGUUAAGUGGAAAAGGAUGUGGGAUUUCGAAGACAACCAGGAUGUUGGCUCAGAAGCAGCCAUCCAUUCAAAGAGUGCGUAAUAGCUCACUGGUCGAGAGGUCCUGCGCCGAAAAUGUCCGGGGCUGAAACGCGCCACCGAAACUAAGGAACCGAAAGGUUGGUAGAGGAGCAUUGCAUGCGGGAAGAAGCAGUACCGUAAGGAGCUGUGGACUGCAUGGAAGAGAGAAUGCCGGAAUGAGUAGCGAGAAUAAGGUGAGAAUCCUUAUGGCCGAAUAUCCAAGGUUUCCAGAGUAAAGCUGAUCUGCUCUGGGUAAGUCGGGGCCUAAGGCGAGGACGAGAGUCGUAGCCGAUGGACAACAGGUGGAGAUUCCUGUACUGCGGUAUGACAGAACUGUGGGGACACGUAAGGAAAGCGGAAGCCGGGAAUGGAAAGCCCGGUGCAAGCGGGGUACCAGCCACUUAGGCAAAUCCGGGUGGCAAUGGGAAUCCGUGAUGCGGAGCGAAAUAAAGUAGCGAAGUCCGUGAGCCAUGCGUCAAGAAAAGCCGCUNCCGAAAGGUUGGUAGAGGAGCAUUGCAUGCGGGAAGAAGCAGUACCGUAAGGAGCUGUGGACUGCAUGGAAGAGAGAAUGCCGGAAUGAGUAGCGAGAUAGAGGUGGGAAUCCUCUAGGCCGAAUAUCCAAGGUUUCCAGAGUAAAGCUGAUCUGCUCUGGGUAAGUCGGGGCCUAAGGCGAGGACGAGAGUCGUAGCCGAUGGACAACAGGUGGAGAUUCCUGUACUGCGGUAUGACAGAACUGUGGGGACACGUAAGGAAAGCGGAAGCCGGGAAUGGAAAGCCCGGUGCAAGCGAGGUACCAGCCACUUUGGCAAAUCCGGGUGGCAAUGGGAAGCCGUGAUGCGGAGCGAAAUAAAGUAGUGAAGUCCGUGAGCCAUGCGUCAAGAAAAGCCGCUAU
Molecule: ribosomal RNA, 1751 nt
Filed under: Blautia wexlerae
Lineage: Bacteria; Bacillati; Bacillota; Clostridia; Lachnospirales; Lachnospiraceae
Description: partial 23S ribosomal RNA
Rfam family: Bacterial large subunit ribosomal RNA (bases 1-1526)
Source: RNAcentral